GGGAAACUUGUCUUUGUUGUUCUCCUUUUUCCAUUUCAUCCUCCUGUUCUGGAACCAGAUUUUGACCUGCCUCUCUGUCAAUCCCAGGGCGUGCGAGACCUCGAUCCUCCGUUUGCGGGUCAGGCUGCUUCAUGAGCAAUAAAUGGAAUUUCCAGAGGGAAUCCCGGGAAUUUCGCUUGGAAAAAGAUGGAAUCGUGAGAGGGACGAGCUGGGACAGCGGGAUCUUGACCUGCCUCUCGCUGAGGUUGAGCAGCCGCGCCACCUCGUGCCGCCGCUCCCGGCUCAGGUACAUGUUGAACAGGAAUUCCUUCUCCAGCUCCA
Long non-coding RNA from Poecile atricapillus (Black-capped chickadee), 321 nucleotides. RefSeq lists it as uncharacterized. The record is from RefSeq and is a predicted model, not a curated record. The transcript is spliced from 3 exons. NCBI's taxonomy places the organism in Eukaryota, Metazoa, Chordata, Aves, Passeriformes, Paridae.